Molecule: microRNA precursor, 85 nt
Filed under: Xenopus laevis (African clawed frog)
Lineage: Eukaryota; Metazoa; Chordata; Amphibia; Anura; Pipidae
Description: mir-425 microRNA precursor family
Rfam family: mir-425 microRNA precursor family
Source: Rfam by way of RNAcentral
ACUUAGCCUUGGAAUGACACGAUCACUCCCGUUGAGCCGAAACACAUAGCGCCAUCGGGAAUAUCGUGUCGCUCCAAAGCUCUCU